This 372-nucleotide ribosomal RNA is filed under the name uncultured organism. RNAcentral describes it as "bacterial SSU rRNA". It matches the Rfam family "Bacterial small subunit ribosomal RNA", at positions 526 to 896 of the family's 1533-position model. The record is from RNAcentral.
CGUAGGGUGCAAGCGUUGCUCGGAAUCAUUGGGCGUAAAGAGCGUGUAGGUGGCUAGAUAAGUCAGAUGUGAAAUCCCUGGGCUCAACCGAGGAAGUGCACUUGAAACUAUCUAGCUCGAGGACGGCAGAGGAAGGUGGAAUUCCUAGUGUAGAGGUGAAAUUCGUAGAUAUUAGGAGGAAUACCGGUGGCGAAGGCGGCCUUCUGGACCGUUCCUGACACUGAGACGCGAAAGCGUGGGGAUCAAACAGGAUUAGAUACCCUGGUAGUCCACGCUGUAAACGAUGGGUACUAGAUGUUGUGGGAAUUGACCCCCGCAGUGUCGUAGCUAACGCGUUAAGUACCCCGCCUGGGAAGUACGGCCGCAAGGUUA